UAAAGGUUUGGUCCUAACUUUACUAUCAACUUUAUCUCAAUUUACACAUGCAAGUCUCCGCACACCUGUGAGAAUGCCCUCAACCUCCCGCCCGGAGAAGAGGAGCCGGUAUCAGGCACAAAAUUUUAGCCCAAGACACCUUGCUAAGCCACACCCCCAAGGGAAUUCAGCAGUGAUAAACAUUAAGCCAUAAGCGCAAGCUUGACUUAGUUAGAGAUAAGAGGGUCGGUAAAACUCGUGCCAGCCACCGCGGUUAUACGAGAGACCCAAGCUGAUAUGCACGGCGUAAAGAGUGGUUAUGAACAGAUAAUAACUAAAGCCGAAAACUUUCUAAGCUGUUAUACGCACCCGAAAAGUUGAAGUCCAAUAACGAAAGUAGCUUUACUACCCUCUGACCCCACGACAGCUAAGACACAAACUGGGAUUAGAUACCCCACUAUGCUUAGCCAUAAACUUAGAUGAUGCUAUACAGCUACAUCCGCCAGGGAACUACGAGCGCUAGCUUAAAACCCAAAGGACUUGGCGGUACCUCAGACCCAUCUAGAGGAGCCUGUUCUAGAACCGAUACUCCACGUUAAACCUCACCACUUCUUGUUAAUACCGCCUAUAUACCGCCGUCGUCAGCUUACCCUGUGAAGGACCUAUAGUAAGCAAAAAGAAUAAAAUCCAAAACGUCAGGUCGAGGUGUAGCGUACGAAGUGGGAAGAAAUGGGCUACAUUUUCUAUUACAGAAUAUACGGAAAAUACACUGAAACAUGUAUUCGAAGGUGGAUUUAGUAGUAAAAAGAAAACAUAGUGUUCUUUUGAACUCGGCUCUGAGGCGCGCACACACCGCCCGUCACUCUCCCUAACAAACACUACAACUGUAAUUAACACAUUAAUAAAUUCAAGGGGAGGCAAGUCGUAACAUGGUAAGUGUACCGGAAGGUGCACUUGGAACAAU
RNAcentral lists this non-coding RNA (943 nucleotides) under Denticeps clupeoides (denticle herring). RNAcentral's name for it is "12S rRNA". It matches the Rfam family "Bacterial small subunit ribosomal RNA". The record is from RNAcentral. Lineage: Eukaryota; Metazoa; Chordata; Actinopteri; Clupeiformes; Denticipitidae.